GAUGAACGCUGGCGGCGUGCCUAAUACAUGCAAGUCGAGCGAAAGGACGAGAAUCUUGCUUUUCUGAUGUUAGCGGCGCACGGGUGAGUAACAUGUGUAUAACCUCCCUAUAUGACUGAGAUAACUUCGGGAAACCGGAGCUAAUCCCGGAUAAUAUUUUGAUCCGCAUGGUUCAAAAGUGAAAGUCGGUCUUUCUGUCUGUAAUAGAUGGUUCCGCGCUGCAUUAGCUAGUUGGUAAGUUAACGGCUUAUCAAGGCUACGAUGCAUAGCCGACCUGAGAGGGUGAUCGGCGACACUGGAACUGGGACAGGGUCCAGGGGCCUGCGGGAGGCAGCAGUAGGGAAUCUGACGCAAUAGGCGAAAGCCUGACGGAGCAACGCGACGUGAGUUGUGAAGAUCUUGGGAUCGUGAAACUGUGUUAUUAGGGGAGAACAGAUGUGUAAGGAACUGUGCACAGCUUGACGGUACCGAAUAAGAAAGCCACGGCUAACUACGUG
RNAcentral lists this ribosomal RNA (497 nucleotides) under uncultured bacterium. RNAcentral's name for it is "partial 16S ribosomal RNA". It matches the Rfam family "Bacterial small subunit ribosomal RNA", at positions 28 to 507 of the family's 1533-position model. The record is from RNAcentral.